AUUUAAUUGAGAUAAUCUGAGGUUUAGGAUAGUAUGGGUGUCUUAUUCCAUCUCAGAUUGUAAAUAACAGAAAACCUAAGGUCCAGAUUUUCAAUCAAAUUUGCUGAGGAAUGCAGAUAACUAAUGUGAAUUUGUAUGUAAAAGAACAAAUCUAAAAGAUUUUAACUUAGGCCACAUCAAUUUGAUUUAUAGUUCUUUGGACAAAAACUCCAAAAAAUAUGGGGCGAGCGAAAUUUUUUUGAUUGUAAAAAAUUCUUGAAAAUGAGUUUUAAUGAGGCGGGUGCUCUACAAGAGGAGCGAGCGGUAUAAUUUUUUUUCAAAUUGUGCAAUUUAGAAAUUUAUGUACAUGUUAAAACUGGGAAACUUCUAAGAAAAGGGA
Molecule: long non-coding RNA, 379 nt
Filed under: Mytilus galloprovincialis (Mediterranean mussel)
Lineage: Eukaryota; Metazoa; Mollusca; Bivalvia; Mytilida; Mytilidae
Source: RNAcentral